GUUAAAUUCAUUAGGUCUGCAGUAGUUGUUUGAGGUGAUGGGUUCGGUUGGGUUAAAUUCAUUAGGUCUGCAGUAGUUGUUUGAGGUGAUGGGUUCGGUUGGGUUAAAUUCAUUAGGUCUGCAGUAGUUGUUUGAGGUGAUGGGUUCGGUUGGGUUAAAUUCAUUAGGUCUGCAGUAGUUGUUUGAGGUGAUGGGUGAGGUUGGGUUAAAUUCAUUAGGUCUGCAGUAGUUGUUUGAGGUGAUGGGUUCGGUU
Long non-coding RNA from Oncorhynchus keta (chum salmon), 253 nucleotides. RefSeq lists it as uncharacterized. Lineage: Eukaryota; Metazoa; Chordata; Actinopteri; Salmoniformes; Salmonidae. The record is from RefSeq and is a predicted model, not a curated record. The transcript has 3 exons.